CAAAUGUCUUCUUCAGUAUUGCCUGAGGUCCUUUGGGCUUCCUCUAUGCACAUGUGGAGACAAUCACUUCUUCCUGAGCACUGCAGGGGACACCAUAUUAUUGCUGCGUGCAUACAUGUGGGAAUGUCCAGAGCCUCCAGGACCCCCAAAAUUCUGCAGUAAUGAACUGGUAUAGAGCCUAACCUUGAAAAUACUGAGAGGCAGGUGAAGAACAUCAGACAGGCAGAAAAUGUGCAGCUGACGAAUUGCUUAGACUUGUGCAAAAAGAACAGACAAUUUCGGAAUGAUUACAGCUUCCAAGAGCUCCAC
This is a long non-coding RNA of Colius striatus (speckled mousebird), 309 nucleotides long. RefSeq lists it as uncharacterized. NCBI's taxonomy places the organism in Eukaryota, Metazoa, Chordata, Aves, Coliiformes, Coliidae. The transcript is spliced from 3 exons. The record is from RefSeq and is a predicted model, not a curated record.